UAUUGGACAAUGGGCGAAAGCCUGAUCCAGCAAUGCCGCGUGAGUGAUGAAGGCCUUAGGGUUGUAAAGCUCUUUUACCAGGGAUGAUAAUGACAGUACCUGGAGAAUAAGCUCCGGCUAACUCCGUGCCAGCAGCCGCGGUAAUACGGAGGGAGCUAGCGUUGUUCGGAAUUACUGGGCGUAAAGCGCACGUAGGCGGCGAUUCAAGUCAGAGGUGAAAGCCCGGGGCUCAACCCCGGAACUCCCUUUGAAACUAGAUUGCUAGAAUCCUGGAGAGGUUAGUGGAAUUCCGAGUGUAGAGGUGAAAUUCGUAGAUAUUCGGAAGAACCCCAGUGGCGAAGGCGACUAACUGGACAGGUAUGACGCUGAAGUGCGAAU
Molecule: ribosomal RNA, 378 nt
Filed under: uncultured bacterium
Lineage: Bacteria
Description: bacterial SSU rRNA
Rfam family: Bacterial small subunit ribosomal RNA
Source: RNAcentral